GUUAGCUUACUCCUUUCUGCCUGUGGAUGCUGCCGAGGAAGCAUCGUUAAAGUCUCUCUUCCCACUGCCUUCAUGUCUAAGUCAGAGUCUCCUAAAGAGCCCGAACAGCUGCGGAAGCUAUUCAUUGGAGAGUUGAGCUUUGAAACGACUGAUGAGAGUCUGAGGAGCCAUUUUGAGCAAUGGGGAAUGCUCACAGACUGCGUGGUAAUGAGAGAUCCAAACACCAAGCGCUCCAGGGGCUUUGGGUUUGUCACAUACGCCACUGUGGAGGAGGUGGAUGCAGCAAUGAAUGCAAGGCCACACAAAGUGGAUGGAAGAGUCGUGGAACCAAAGAGAGCUGUUUCCAGAGAGGAUUCUUAAAGACCUGGUGCCCAUUUAACUGUGAAAAAGAUCUUUGUUGGUGGCAUUAAAGGAGAUACUGAAGGACAUCACUUAAGAGACUAUUUUGAACAGUAUGGGAAAACUGAAGUGAUUGAAAUCAUGACUGACCGAGGCAGUGGCAAGAAGAGGGGCUUUGCUUUUGUUACGUUUGAUGACCAUGAUUCUGUGGAUAAGAUUGUCAUUCAGAAAUACCAUACUGUGAAUGGCCACAACUUUGAAGUAAGGAAAGCCCUGUCAAAGCAAGAGAUGGCUAGUGCUUCGUCCAGCCAAAGAGGUCUAAGUGGUUCUGGAAACUUUGGUGGGGGUCGUGGAGGUGGUUUUGGUGGAAAUGACAACUUUGGCCGUGGAGGAAACUUCAGUGGUCGUGGUGGCUUUGGUGGCAGCCGUUGUGGUGGUGGAUAUGGUGGCAGUGGGGAUGGCUACAAUGGAUUUGGUAAUGAUGGAAGCAAUUUUGGAGGUGGUGGAAGUUACAAUGAUUUUGGCAAUUUACAACAAUCAGUCAUCAAAUUUUGGACCUAUAAAGGGAGGAGAUUUUGGAGGCGGAAGCUCUGGCCCUUAUGGUGGUGGUGGCCAAUACUUUGCCGAACCACAAAACCAAGGUGGCUAUGGUGGUUCCAGUAGCAGCAGUAGCUAUGGCAGUGGCAGAAGGUUUUAAUUAUUCCCAGGAAACAAAGCUUAGCAGGAGAGGAGAGCCAGAGAAGUGACAGGGAAGCUACAGGUUACAACAGAUUUGUGAACUCAGCCAAGCACAGUGGUGGCAGGGCCUACCUGCUACAAAGAAGACAUGUUUUAGACAAUACUCAUGUGUAUGGGCAAAAAACUCGAGGACUGUGUUUGUGGCUAAUUGUAUAACAGGUUAUUUUAGUUUCUGUUCUGUGGAAAGUGUAAAGCAUUCCAACAAAGGGUUUUAAUGUAGAUUUUUUUUUUUUGCACCCAUGCUGUUGAUUGCUAAAUGUAAUAAUAGUCUGAUCAUGACGCUGAAUAAAUGUCUUUUUUU
Molecule: RNA transcript, 1378 nt
Organism: Nycticebus coucang (slow loris)
Lineage: Eukaryota; Metazoa; Chordata; Mammalia; Primates; Lorisidae
Gene name: heterogeneous nuclear ribonucleoprotein A1-like
Exons: 1
Source: RefSeq, a predicted model, not a curated record